UACGAAGGGGGCUAGCGUUGUUCGGAAUUACUGGGCGUAAAGCGCACGUAGGCGGUCCUGUCAGUCAGAAGUGAAAGCCCUGGGCUCAACCCGGGAACUGCUUUUGAUACUGCAGGGCUUGAAUCCUGGAGAGGGUAGUGGAAUUCCCAGUGUAGAGGUGAAAUUCGUAGAUAUUGGGAAGAACACCAGUGGCGAAGGCGACUACCUGGCCAGGCAUUGACGCUGAGGUGCGAAAGCGUGGGGAGCAAACAGG
Molecule: ribosomal RNA, 253 nt
Filed under: uncultured bacterium
Lineage: Bacteria
Description: partial 16S ribosomal RNA
Rfam family: Bacterial small subunit ribosomal RNA
Source: RNAcentral